GUCCACGCCGUAAACGAUGGAUACUAGCUGUUGGGAGCAAUCUCAGUGGCUAAGCGAAAGUGAUAAGUAUCCCACCUGGGGAGUACGUUCGCAAGAAUGAAACUCAAAGGAAUUGACGGGGGCCCGCACAAGCGGUGGAGCAUGUGGUUUAAUUCGAUGAUACGCGAGGAACCUUACCAAGGCUUAAAUGUAGAUUGACCGUUUUGGAAACAGAACUUUCGCAAGACAAUUUACAAGGUGCUGCAUGGUUGUCGU
This 255-nucleotide ribosomal RNA is filed under the name uncultured bacterium. Its description in RNAcentral is "partial 16S ribosomal RNA". It matches the Rfam family "Bacterial small subunit ribosomal RNA", at positions 793 to 1055 of the family's 1533-position model. The record is from RNAcentral.